This 447-nucleotide ribosomal RNA is filed under the name uncultured bacterium. RNAcentral's name for it is "partial 16S ribosomal RNA". It matches the Rfam family "Bacterial small subunit ribosomal RNA", at positions 331 to 794 of the family's 1533-position model. The record is from RNAcentral.
CCAGACUCCUACGGGAGGCAGCAGUGGGGAAUAUUGCACAAUGGGGGAAACCCUGAUGCAGCAACGCCGCGUGAAGGAAGACGGUUUUCGGAUUGUAAACUUCUGUUCUUAGUGAAGAAGAAUGACGGUAGCUAAGGAGCAAGCCACGGCUAACUACGUGCCAGCAGCCGCGGUAAUACGUAGGGGGCAAGCGUUAUCCGGAUUUACUGGGUGUAAAGGGGGCGCAGACGGCAGCGCAAGCCAGGAGUGAAAGCCCGGGGCCCAACCCCGGGACUGCUCUUGGAACUGCGCGGCUGGAGUGCAGGAGGGGCAGGCGGAAUUCCUGGUGUAGCGGUGAAAUGCAUAGAUAUCACGCAGAACUCCGAUUGCGAAGGCAGCGUACCGGCGCCCAACUGACGCUGAAGCACGAAGGCGUGGGUAUCGAACAGGAUUAGAUACCCCAGUAGG